This is a long non-coding RNA of Orcinus orca (killer whale), 2819 nucleotides long. RefSeq lists it as uncharacterized. NCBI's taxonomy places the organism in Eukaryota, Metazoa, Chordata, Mammalia, Artiodactyla, Delphinidae. The transcript has 5 exons. The record is from RefSeq and is a predicted model, not a curated record.
UGGACAUUUAGAUGGCUCCCAUGUCUUGGCUAUUGUAAAUAGUGCUGCAAUGAACAUAGGGGUGCAUGUAUCUUUUCCAGUUAUGGUUUUGUCCAGAUAUAUGCCCAGGAGUGGGAUUGCUGGAUCAUAUAGCAACUCUUAAUUUUAGGUUUUUGAGAAACAAACGUUCUGUUUCCCAUAGUGGCUGCACUAAUUUACAUUCCCACCAACAGUGUAGGAGGUUCCCUUUACCAAUUGAGGGACAUUUAAAUAACAUAAGAUUCCCCAGCAGAGCUGGAGAUUCUGAGCGCACUCAGCGUCUAGGGAGUGGGGACGGAAGUCCGUAGUUUUAUUAAGCUCCUCCAGAUGAUGUUCCAUCUUUAGGGACCGCAGAAGUGUUGUAUAAAAAACUCCUAUAUAUCCCUUUAACCUCUGGGUCUGAGGGUCGCCUGUGGCCCAUGCUUUGUAUAUGGCCCCUUGUCUAUCUGACACUCCCCGCCCCGCGUGCAAAUCCCCUGGGUCUCGACAGGGUCUGAGUCGCCGGGAUGGCCAGGUCCGGAGCUGGGGAGGAGCCGAAAGGAAGAUCGUGAUUUCAGGUCUUCAAGAGUCCCACAGGUGUGAGAGAGAAUCAGAAGAAAACUUAGGAAAAGGAGUUAGGAUUUACCCCAAAUACUCAUUUCUGGGUUGACCCUCGUACCCAAAGCCAGAGAAUGGCGGGAAGCGCCUGAUGGCUGAACCUCGGAGAGUAAGGGGUCUAACGACUGCAGGCGCACGGACAAGCCUACUCCUUAAAACGCCUUCCUUCUGCGUACUUUUCACUCCGUGGAGGAUUCGGCCCGAAAGGGGGCGCUAUAAGGCUGCUCGGUUUCUUUCGCUCCUCUUCCCGGUGCGCGCUUCUCGGUGGUGCUCGCGAUCCCAGCCGCCAUGCGGUUUCCCGACUCCGAGGCUGGACGCGGGAAGCUACCGGAGUCGGGGGCUGCGACCGACGCGGGCCUGUCUACAGUGCCCCUUCAGUCUUCUCUCCUACCUGGACCUGAAACCCCAUGACACCGUUUAGACUUUCUUCUUUUUAUCCUCCUGCAUUGUACUCGGUUUUCUGGCAACCUUUUUAAGCAGAGGUCUUAUCCCAGACCUUUCCCUGGGGGCGGCCAGUCAGGACUGCUCCCUUCUCCACCGGCAGGUGGCCGUCGAGCUGGCGUCCGAGAGGGUGACCAGUAGUGGGAGAGCCCAGGACCAGACGGGACUUUCGGGCCGUGGCACCACACUGGGUAGCUGAGUCAACUAGCGAAAGACACGAUUAAAGAGGCUGGGGGAGCACCAAACCGCUCAGGACUCCAGAAACCGAAAAACAAGCGAGGAAAGAAUGAGAAUAAGCACUUCUUUAAGAAUUAUUCUGUUGAAUUUUCACAAGGGGACCUAGAAUACUGAAAAAUGAAAGCAAAUGGACAGUAAAGUCGUCAAGACUCAGUUUCAUAGUGUCUGUUUUCCACCGACAACUCUUGGACACUUUGAAAGAAGAAAAUAAAACACUAUUUCAACAUCAGAACUGCAUCAAGUUGCAAAUGGAAAAUUGGUACAAACUGAGAAGCAACGUCAAGUCCUGUACACAUACAAAGUAAAAACAUAACCCAAUGGAUUCUGGUGAAGUCCCUCCUCUCUUGCUGUGAGCCUCGACCUCACCAAGACGACUUCAACAAGCAGAAGAAAGACAAAAAGGAAGUGGGAGAAAGAACGGGAUGCCAACAGGAACAGUCUCGAAAUCUUGGCCCUGAGAUUAAAGUCAUGACAACCUACACACCGAACUAUCUAGAGUUCAGCCUCUGAAAAACAUUUCAAAUUAAAAAUACUUGGUUACUACCUUACCCCUCUUAUCUUCCAUGUCUUGCAUUCCAAGCUCAACACAUUAAACAAACAACAACAACAAAAACACUCACUCCUACGUAUAGCUCAGAUGGUGAAGUCUAAAGACAAAUGCGGUCCCUGUUUCUACCUUGCGCUCUUCUACCACUAGCACGUGGGGAUCCGGACACUGUGGCCUCCCUGCCGCGCGGUCUGAAACCUCCAAUACCACCGGGAUACACUAAAAUCAGAAACUCAACCGCAGGACUUCUCUCAAGUGCUCCAGCCACGGAAAGAGCAGCGAGGCUCUCUGAAAACCGCGACAGUCGGACAAAACGAAGGGGAUCUUCCUUCGGGAAAGCGGUCUCAGCUCACUUCUUUUACCGGGAAUGGGCCUGCUUGUUCCCCACGUACCCAGAGGAAGCGCAGCAGAGACGCGUAACUAACCGCCUCUCCGCCCAUCUGAAACUAACGCCAACCUAAGCACUCGUCCACUUUUUUCCUCCUCCACCUUCCUGUGGCCGCUGAAGCCGCGGACUCCACGCCUGCCUUUCGUUAUCGUUACCUGUAUUCUGCUGUCGCACUAAUCUCCCUCCUGGUGUUAACUUUCCCAAAGAUAUCAGCCCACUCGUCUUGGAGUCUCUAAAGCCGAGAACUGCCAAACCUGGCUGACUUUCAGAAUCAUCGGGGGGAGCUUUUAAACAAGGUCGAUUUCUGGCUUAGCCCAUCAGAGAUAAUUCAGAAUUUCCUCCAAACCUAGUACCUGAGUUGACUGUCGGAACAAAUUUUGGCUGAAGGUGGGAAGCGUCUCCCCUUUCCACAGGGACAAUGAGAUCUCAAGAACUAAUUUGGCAACCGGCGAGCUCAUUUUGCACGUCGGGCCCAGCGGCUGAACCUCCCCCCUGGUGUUCUUUCAUUCAAGAAAAGGAUUCCGUAUAUACUAAGAGGGGCAAAAAUCGAUGCAGCAUCCUGCUGUCUGUUCUUGUCCCCAACUUGGUCUC